AUGGUCGACCUGCAGGCGGCCGCGAAUUCACUAGUGAUUAGAGUUUGAUCAUGGCUCAGAGUGAACGCUGGCGGCGUGGAUUAGGCAUGCAAGUCGAACGAUCCCGCAAGGGAUAGUGGCAAAAGGGCGAGUAACACGUGAGCAAUUUACCCUCAAGCGGGGAACAACCUUGGGAAACCGAGGCUAAAACCGCAUAAGACCACGGCAGGGCAUCCUGCUGUGAUAAAAAGUGGGGACCGCAAGGCCCGCUACUUGAGGAUGAGCUCGCGACCUAUCAGCUUGUUGGUGAGGUAAUGGCCCACCAAGGCUUUUGACGGGUAGCUGGUCUGAGAGGAUGGUCAGCCGCAUUGGGACUGAGACACUGCCCAGACUCCUACGGGAGGCUGCAGUCGAGGAUCUUUUGCAAUGCCCGAAAGGGUGACAAUGCGACGCCGCGUGUGUGAUGAAGGUCUUCGGMUCGUAAMACACUGUCAGCUGGGAGGAAUCUCA
RNAcentral lists this ribosomal RNA (489 nucleotides) under uncultured bacterium. Its description in RNAcentral is "bacterial SSU rRNA". It matches the Rfam family "Bacterial small subunit ribosomal RNA", at positions 1 to 454 of the family's 1533-position model. The record is from RNAcentral.